AUUGAACGCUGGCGGCAGGCCUAACACAUGCAAGUCGAGCGGAUGAAGGGAGCUUGCUCCUGGAUUCAGCGGCGGACGGGUGAGUAAUGCCUAGGAAUCUGCCUGGUAGUGGGGGAUAACGUCCGGAAACGGGCGCUAAUACCGCAUACGUCCUGAGGGAGAAAGUGGGGGAUCUUCGGACCUCACGCUAUCAGAUGAGCCUAGGUCGGAUUAGCUAGUUGGUGGGGUAAAGGCCUACCAAGGCGACGAUCCGUAACUGGUCUGAGAGGAUGAUCAGUCACACUGGAACUGAGACACGGUCCAGACUCCUACGGGAGGCAGCAGUGGGGAAUAUUGGACAAUGGGCGAAAGCCUGAUGCAGCCAUGCCGCGUGUGUGAAGAAGGUCUUCGGAUUGUAAAGCACUUUAAGUUGGGAGGAGGGGCAGUAAGUUAAUACCUUGCUGUUUUGACGUUACCAACAGAAUAAGCACCGGCUAACUUCGUG
Molecule: ribosomal RNA, 484 nt
Filed under: uncultured bacterium
Lineage: Bacteria
Description: partial 16S ribosomal RNA
Rfam family: Bacterial small subunit ribosomal RNA
Source: RNAcentral